This 468-nucleotide ribosomal RNA is filed under the name uncultured bacterium. RNAcentral's name for it is "partial 16S ribosomal RNA". It matches the Rfam family "Bacterial small subunit ribosomal RNA", at positions 28 to 507 of the family's 1533-position model. The record is from RNAcentral.
GACGAACGCUGGCGGCGUGCUUAACACAUGCAAGUCGAACGGAAAGGCCCUGCUUUUGUGGGGUGCUCGAUUGGCGAACGGGUGAGUAACACGUGAGUAACCUGCCCUUGACUUUGGGAUAACUUCAGGAAACUGGGGCUAAUACCGGAUAGGAUCUCCUGCUGCAUGGUGUGGGUUGGAAAGUUUCGGCGGUUGGGGAUGGACUCGCGGCUUAUCAGCUUGUUGGUGGGGUAGUGGCUUACCAAGGCUUUGACGGGUAGCCGGCCUGAGAGGGUGACCGGCCACAUUGGGACUGAGAUACGGCCCAGACUCCUACGGGAGGCAGCAGUGGGGAAUAUUGCACAAUGGGCGGAAGCCUGAUGCAGCAACGCCGCGUGCGGGAUGACGGCCUUCGGGUUGUAAACCGCUUUCGCCUGUGACGAAGCGUGAGUGACGGUAAUGGGUAAAGAAGCACCGGCUAACUACGUG